Gallus gallus (chicken) is the source of this 1203-nucleotide long non-coding RNA. The record is from Ensembl. NCBI's taxonomy places the organism in Eukaryota, Metazoa, Chordata, Aves, Galliformes, Phasianidae.
AACUUCUCUUUCUCUUCCACCCUCUUCCUAUUUUGUUUGUGGUUUUUUUUUUUUUGUUUUGUUUUGUUUUUUUUUAGCUAACCAGCUGCUGUUGGGCACAUCCUUACAUCUUGAAAGGAAUCAAAAGGCCCAAAAUGAUUUCUGGUAUAAUUCUAAGCUGAAGUGUUUGCAGCUGUGGUGCAUUCGACCCCUUAGGUUUAAUCAUUACAAUAAAUUAAACCUGCCUACGUGCUGAAAACAGCUCAUCAUGUGUUUUUCAUUCCAGCAAAGAGCUGCUAAAAAGCCCAGUUUUUUGCUGCUAGAAGAUCUAACUUGGCCACCUCUUCAAAACUGCAGGUAUUUUAGAUCCAGUUUAGGAGCAAUGGAUAUAGAAGACACCACGUAAGCUUUGCUGGGCUAUUUUCUCCCCUGACAUCAAGAGGAUUCUGACUUCAAGGAGCAUUGGGUUGAACUGUAAAGACCUACCUACAAGUAACAGACCAGUAUUUCUAAAAGCCCUCCCAAACCAGAAUAGCUGGGACAUGAACUGGGCAAAUCCCUCUGAGCUUCCCUGGUGCUGUGCCUCCAGCCUAUACUCUGCUAGCAAUAAAGGAGAGGCUGACCAGGGAAGUGGUAGUGGAGUCACCGUUCUUGAAGGCGUUGAAGAACUGUGGAGACAUGGCACUGAGGGACAGAUUUAUUCCUCUUUCUACCCCCUUACGCUUCAGGAUUAGACCUGGCUCUUCCUGGAACUGAGGUGAAGAAUCAAAGGGCAGAGCUCAGGAGGAAUGGAGUGCUGCAGACCUGGUGACACCUCAUCUCCCAGUGCCCAGGAAAUGCUGCACUCCUGCCUACACAUCUUACAGCCUCAGCCACCUGGAGAAAGGGCAGAAAGCUCAGUGCUGGCUCCUCUCUUUUUGAUGUACACAGAGAAAACACAGCUUUUGACAAUAGAAAUAGGUUCUACAGUAUUUUUGGCUAAUGAUGAAGUUUGUGAGACAUAUGUAAAACAGGGUUUCUUCACCUCUGAGUGUGGGUGGAUGAAGAUGAAUUCUGUUGCAAUUCAUGCGUUUUGCGUGGCUGUCCAAAUUGUAUUACACUAGAAUCCAUAGUUAAUUCUUUUCAACCAUCUGCUAAUUUUAGAGUAAUAUAUACAACAGUUUCUCCUCACCCUUACUUAAUCAACUUCACUUAGUUAAAAAUAAAAAUAAAAAUUCAUACAUC